This is a long non-coding RNA of Pan troglodytes (chimpanzee), 7352 nucleotides long. RefSeq lists it as uncharacterized. The record is from RefSeq and is a predicted model, not a curated record. The transcript has 5 exons. Lineage: Eukaryota; Metazoa; Chordata; Mammalia; Primates; Hominidae.
ACGGCAUUGUGGGGCGACAGCCGGAGGGGCUGCACUGCACCGAGCUUGCACAGGGCGAGGCGGGGGCAGGACCUGGGACCCAGCCACCCCGGAGGAAACCGGAGAGGAAGCCAGCUUGGUCUUGCUCUCUGCCUCGUCCCAAUCCCCGGCUCUUACCAAAUGCAGCAGUGAAAAGGAGGCUGCCAACCCCAAGCAGAGAGGAUUCGGGAGAUCCAUGUAUGGUACUCUGUCCUGGUCAUGACCCUGCGAGGGACAUAACUGCCUUGUCACCUGGACAAUUGAGAGAAGAAUAUCACAUGCCAUGUUUCACUCAGGAAGCACUCAGUGCCUGUGGGGGAUGGGAAGUGAAGAAUGUCUGGGGACGCUGUCCCAACUGAUCCUUUUUCACUGGCUUUUAAUGGGGGUUUCUAGAAAGAGAAGCACUUAUUCAUUGAUAAAAAUAAAACAUAAUUAGACACAGCCUCCUCUGCCCCUCACGUGAUGGAGUUUUCAGCAAUAUCAAGAAGAACCACCAUACUGAUAAUGCAAAUCUUGAUUCCCUCUGCUCCAUUACACUCCCUUUUAGUCUCACUUUUGGUCCAUAGCAAUUUAGCAAGCUAAGGAGUCUGGAAGUAGUAAGGUCAGCCAACUGUUUCACCAGGGUGAUGCCAGAUAAUACCAGACAGUGUGAUCAAUGGAUAAAGGGAAUGUGAAUAUAAAGAAGAAAAAAGCCCCUUGGCAACCAGAAUGAGUUGGGCUAGAAAUUGAACUCAGCAACUUUUAAAAUCUGACCCACGGCAAGGCAAGCUUCCUAAAGAUCCGUUGGCUGAAUGCCUUUUAGUCUGCAUACAUGCAUCUCAUACCGCACAGCCCAAAUUUCUACAACUUGUCCAGGUGCAGUCUCCUCAGAACUACAAAGCAAGAAAAGAUCACCUUUGGGCUCAGGAACUCACAGUCGUUCUCCCUCUCCCGGAAGGCACAAUGACCAGGACAGUACCGAGCUUUGCAGCCAUAUUGAACUCACCAUCAACUCAGCACAUUCAACUCAAUCAGUCAAAAUCGCCUUUUCCUGCUGGUAAAUAACACUGAAAUUGUGGGAAGAUGGGAUGGUAAGAACAAAGUCUGUCUCUGGAAGCACGGGUGCUGUCUCUGAAGACAAAUUGAUCGUAACACAAGCAGACCCGGUGGAACGACCUCCAUGCUGAACCCUCAGCUCCCCCUGCAUUUGGACCAUGGCCUGAUGGAAGAUAAAGAGACUGAUCUCAGAGUGGUACAGAUCUACAACCACGUGAAGAAUUGGAUUUAUAUUCAUCUGACUCCAGAAAGUUCCUGAGAUUCCUCUGCUUCAUCAUCUUUCCCAUGCCCUUUAAAACACGUUAUCAAAUAGCAACAGGUGGUGCAAUAACUAGACAAAUGAUUCUCAGCCUUUUUCUUUGCCAUUAGCACUCCUGGAAGGAGACGUGUUGGACACGUUUUCCUUGUCACCACCCCAUGAACCUUCCAUACCACAGGUAUACUGUGUAUUCGGUUAUGUAUCAUCUGUACACCUGUUUCUAAAACACAGAAACAGUAAGAGCCCCCCAUCCAAGAAUCCAUUUUAAUCCUCUUGGGUGUGAUGUCACCCCCCAAAAAUGCAUAUGCUCUGGAGUCAGUCACAAACACAUUACGAAUGCAUGAUCACUUAAGAAUGUUACCAAAGUUUAUAAAUUUGAGAUGAUAAUUCUAUGUUAUUUAGUUCAUUUUAGAGAUAAGUAAGAACCAGAGAUUCCAGAGAGGUAGACCAAGCUGACAGAGCAAGGAAAGGCAGAGCCAGACAUGCAGCUGAAGCAUCUGAAUUCCCACUCUAGUGCUCCAGCUUAACCUGGAUGAUCAGUAAAUGGUUGCUUUUCAAUGUGCUCUCAACACUUCCCACGCUGCCUCCUUCAUUGAUAAAGGAAUGGUAUUUUGGGAGAAACCAGAAUCUGCCCUGGGGCAAUAGAAAGGCAGCAAAGCAACCUGCAUUCAAGUCUUUGGGGGAUUUUUUGGAAAGCAGAGUGUAUUAGUCUGCUAUUGCUGCUGUAACAAAUUACCAUGUAUUUAGUGGCUUAAAACAACACACAUUUGUUGUCUUAAAGUUCUGGAGGUCAGAGCCCAAAAUGGGUCUCAUGGAGCUCAAAUCAAGAUGUCAGAAGGGCUGUGUUCCUUUGGAAGGCCCUUGGGGAGAAUCUGUUCCAUGCCUUCUCCAGUUCCUGGAAGUCACCUGCUUGCUUUGGCUGUGGGGCACUUCCAGCAACUGCAUCACUCUAACCUCUGCAACCAUAGCACGUCUCCCUUUUCUGACUCUCACCCUCUUCUUUCUUUCCCUUAUAAGGACGAUUGUAGUCCAGGAUAAUCUCCCCAUUUCAAAAUCCUUUACUUAAUCACAUCUGCAAAGUCCGUCUUGGCCUAUAAGGUGACAUACUUGCAGAUUCCAGAAAUUAGAAUUUGGACGUCUUUGGGUGGCUGUUAUUAUGCCUGCCACACAGACCAAUGCAUACACAAUGUGACCAAUCCAUCAUGAUUUGUCUGAGACUAUAUUGGCUUUAAAGCUGAAAGUUCUGCAUCCCAGGAAUCGCCUCAGUCCCAGGCAAUUCAGGACAAUUCGUUGUCACCCUAUGUGCACCUCCUAUGUGCUCCUUCAACUUAGAGAGUUGGUGUUUUCUCUCCUCUUCAAAGGUCUAACUCCUUUUCACCUAAAGAGUACACAGAGGCUGGGUGUAGUGGCUUAGGCCUGUAAUCUCAGUGCAUUUGGGACACUGAGGCAGGAGGUUCACUUGAGCCCAGGAGUUUGAGACCAUUCAGGGCAACAUAGUGAGAUCCUUUCUCUACAAAUUUUUUAAAAGAUUAGUUGGGCAUGGUGGCACAUGCCUGUAGUCCCAGCUACUUGGCAGGCUAAGGAGGAAGGAUCCCCUGAGCCCGGGAUUCAAGGCUGCAGUGAGCUAUGAUAGUGCCACUGUACUGCAGCUGAGGCAACAAAACGAGGCCCUGUCUCUAAAAAUAAAAAAAAGAAAAAAAGGCUGCACAGAAUAGACUGAUGGACUGAAGGCUCUGCCCUUAUCAAAUAUUUACUAAGUAAUAAUUAUAAGUUUGCCUCCUACACUGGGUGACUUCUCAAAUUCCAGGUUGAGGUCAUAUUCAUUUCUGCUGUCAUAGGGUAUUGUUGGGUCCCUGGUGCUUAUAUGUGAUUUGGGAAAUGCUUGCCGAUGUGAAUUGAAGAGAAGGAUAGACAAAUGCUUGGUUGGGAGGAUGGCAGGAGAUGGUAAUGGGUAGAUGGGUGGAUGGAUGAAAAUAUGAAUGGAUGGCUAAGAACGAUCAGUAAGCUGGGAGAGCAUCUCAGAUCCCAACAGCAUCUAGGCACAAAGCAAUUUAUAUUUAAUUUGCACCAUUGUAUGUCACCCCAGAUGGGGAGAAAGACAAGGAAAUGAAAAGAGAGAAGAGAAGGAAGGAAGGAAAAGAGAAGGGAUGGGAAGAAAUGGAAGAGAAGAGAAAAGAAGGCAAAAGAGAAGAAAGACAAAAGACAACCAAUGAGAUAAAUAGAGAAAAAUAAAGACUAGAAAAGGAAGAGGGGAAAGGAGAGGAGAGGAAAGGAAGGAAAACUCAUGGGUGGUCCCCAGCUUAGACCACAUGCCCACAACCAGCUCUGGAUCCCAGAGUUGGGACUAUGCUGGAAUUCCAGAGGAAGAGGCAUGCAAGCCAAGCACAGGCCAUUCCAUCAGUUCUUCUAAAUUAUUUCUCCAGUCCAGGCCCGCAUCAGGGAGAGCAUGUCUGUCGUGCAUUUUAAUCUCAGAGUUCUGGGCUGGUAUUUGUCAGCCCCAGAGGAAAAACCACUUUUUUUUUUUGCCCUUCUCACAUGCUGGGCAGGCGUGUUACAUUUUUUUUGGCUGUGAAGGCACUAAGUGUUUCUUGGCAGCAUGUACGUCUGGAACUCAGCCUCUUCCCAAGUCAGAACGACCAGAGAUUCAAGAUCAAUGGGUGUAGCUUUCAGGUGGGUUCCCUCUCCAGUGCCAUCUUGGGGAAAGGCAGGAGGACUUUUGAUUUUCCACUUUUCCAGCUGAGACUCAGCUCUCUUUCCCGAAUGCGCAUACGUGAAUACCUCGUCUAUUUCCAUGAGCUUUCUCUUUUCAUUAUCGCUUCACCACCAAUGGAGAAAGAUCAGUAGAAUAUAAUGUUGAAGACUCAGAGUCCUUGGAACUCUUUGGCAUUGACAAAUCGUGUUACAACAACCUCCUUUGCGUCUUAAACAGCCUGGCAUUCUCACAUUCAGCUUGGCAGCCUCAUCAAUAUUCUGGAGAGAUCUGAGCUCAAGGCCAUCAAAUAUGACACUUUGGUUGUUUAGUCGGGAGUGAAUCUACUGACUGUGGCCUUAGUGACACCAAGGCUGGCAUGUUGUGUUUUCUCUCAAUUCAUGGGCUUUUCUGAUGUGUCUCUCAAAUCCAGCCCUGGUGAGGGGAAGAAAAAUCACCCAGACCCAGCUCUGUUCCGUAGGAGCUGCAUGAUUUUGAGAGAGUCUCUUCCCCUUUCUGAGCCUCAGUUUCUCCACUGGCAUGGUAAGGUGCAGUUUGGACCAGGUAGUUUCUAAAGUCUGUUACAUUCCGGCAUGCCCAACUUCGUUUAGGAUUGCUCUGAAUGAAUGAGUGUCCAGCCAUGGUCAGGCCGAUAGCUAGGGUCAGAAAAUACAGUUUGCCACAUAUGCAGUCAAGCGUUGAUAUAAAUUGUCUGCCUGAAUCCUGGCUUUGGUUGUUUGUGGAUCAAACCAUGCCCCGUGUGUGCACAGUAAUGAUUGGUUAUGGCGACCAUAUGUCCUGGGUUUCCUCGGACAGCCUUGAUUUCAAAAUUCUGUCCCAUCGUCAAACCUUGUGUCAGAUCAUGUAUCUCGAUUUUUGAUUCAGAAAAUAUGGUCACCAUAUGGCAAAUGCAUCUCCACCACUGUGACAUAGACGACUUGUCUUCAUCCUCCUGCAAAGCUCUGUCUUAUUCUCCCAGGCAGACAAGGAUGCAUCUCCUCUCUGUGCCCACUCCUGUCACCACAAAACCUUCAAUCUAUCACUUCCAUGUCUGUGUCCUGUGCUGGACACCAGGCUCCCUAAGGGCAGGAAGAACAUUUGGUUCAUCUUCAUAUUCUUAGCACCAGCUCUGAAUAAACUAAAAGCAAUGAGUCUGUCACAUUAUACAGUAGAAAUCUUCCUGAAAAGAUGGGGGCGUACAUUUUUAAAUUAUAAUCUCUUCUAAAUAGAACCAGGAAACUUAGUACUCAAGGAAGAAAUCAUACAUUUAUUUUUUUCUUUCCUUUCCUUUCCUUUUCUUUCUUUUCUCCAAAUAAUUAUUUCAGAUCUUCUAAAAGAUCUGGACUUGCAUAUGCCAUUUGCUAGGGGGGAGUAAAUCUUGGAAGCAGAUUCUCCUGGCUGUAUAGGAUUCAGUCCACUCAUGGCCAACAAACUGAGACAUCAGAAGAGAGAAUUCACCAUUUUAAAUCUGCAGUCAGCUGAGACUCAGUCCUGCAAUUAUAUAAUUUCUUGUGAAUUUGUUUCAUGAACUAAAGAAGGCAAAGGCUUUUUCAGGGUUACGAGGGGGAUAAAGUCCAUCUUACGGCCCUUGGAGGAAAAUCUUAGUCACCUUUCUUAUAGUUCCUUUUUCUUGGCUGCUUUUAGUGCUAGCCCCUUUCUUUGAGUACUUUAUCCUUCCUGAACUCUCUAGACAUACGUGUCUCCAAGCUCCUCUCUAACCCAGAUUUCACUCUGGCAGCCAUGCUAAACUUUGAUCCAAUGUUGUCCAUAACUUCUACUUAUUUCCAGAGUAAUAAUAAUACUUCACAGCAUACCACUCAAGAGCGCUUAUGGUUUGACCACCAUCUAUUAUUUUACACCUUAGAUCCUCAAAAGACCCAUACACCAACACCUUUUAUCCCAGAAAAAUCAAGAAAUCCAGUCAUUUUUACUAUUGCCAAUCCCAGAAAAUAGCCCAACUCACUCUCAUAGCUCUGAGUCUUUGCACAAACUCUUUCUUUUCUCUGGGACGAGUUCCUGCCUUCAGGUACCUUGGCACACCCUAGCUGUCUUUCAAAAUCUUUUUUGAUUAUCCCUUUUAUUGUGAAGGCUUCUCUCAUUCAGUAAAUACAGAUGAUGAUGAUGAUGAUAGUAAUAACAACAAUAAUAGUGAUGAUAAUGACAAAACUCACAUGUGUUCAGCAGGAAUUAUGUGCUGGGCUGGGAGCUAAGUGCUUUUCAGACUUUACCUGAUCUUACAUUUUAUAGCAGAAAAGAAAAUUCAAACCCAGAAAUAUUUGCAUAGCCAAACUAAGUCCAAGGACACAUAGUUAAAAUAGGGCAGAGCUGAGGUUGGGACCCAUUUUCUGUCUGACCUCAAAGUCAGUGUUCAUAACUACUACAUCCCACUUAGGCUCAGUCAGGUUCUAGUUUGGACCACUUCAUACCCACAGAAGGUGCCUCUUGCUUGAUCAUCCUCAUGUUGACCAGCCAGCCUCAAGGAUCUCGAGGACAGAGGCUCUGCCCUAUAAAUCUAUUCUUCAUUAGUCCUUCCUAUGGUCCCUGACACACGGUAAACAUGCAAUAGAGUUGGCUAAAGAAAUGGACACAAAACCACUCUUCCAUCUUGCUUCAUUUUUGCCGAGAGGAACAUCUCAAGGUGAAUAUAUAGACACCUUCCACUAGAUCUGUACAUAUAUUCAAGCUCACACUUCAAAAGGGCCACCAUAAUCAGCAAGCAGCAAAUAUAUCCUAGGCUGCUUCUAGCUGGAGCAUAAACAGAACCCACCGAGGCUCUUCACUGGCAUAGCAACUCUGUGCUCCCUAGAGCCUAAAGCUGAUGAAGAAGUCUGCAAACCUUACCUUUCCAAAGAGCCAAUGCCUAGAGGAUGACAAUAUUAAGUCUGAAUUCAACGAAAACUAACAAAGAAACAAACAACCCCAAAAAGUAAACACAAAAGAAAUAAAAACACUUUGGGAGGCCUAGGCAGGCAAAUUGCCUGAGCUCAGGAAUUCGCGACCAGCCUGGGCAACACAGUGAAACCUCAUCUCUACUAAAAUACAAAAAAUUAGCUGGGCGUGGCAGCACGUGCCUGUAGUCCCAGCUAUUCAGGAGGCAGAGGCAGGAGAAUUGCUUGAACCCGGGAGGCAGAGGUUGCAGUGAGCCGAGAUCACACCACUGCACUCCAGCCUGGGCAACAGAGCAAGACUCUGUCUCAAAAAAAAGAAGAAAGAAGGAAAGGAAGGAAGGAAGGAAGGAAGGAAGGAAGGAAGGAAGGAAGGAAGGAAGGAAGAAAGAGAAAGAAAGAAAAAGAAAGAAAGAAAGAAAGAAAGAAAGAAAGAAAGAAAGAAAGAAAGAAAGAAAGAAAGAGA